This 253-nucleotide ribosomal RNA is filed under the name uncultured bacterium. RNAcentral describes it as "partial 16S ribosomal RNA". It matches the Rfam family "Bacterial small subunit ribosomal RNA", at positions 524 to 776 of the family's 1533-position model. The record is from RNAcentral.
UACAGAGGUGGCAAGCGUUGUUCGGAAUUACUGGGCGUAAAGGGCGCGUAGGCGGCUUGGUCAGUCCCGUGUGAAAUCCCUCGGCUCAACUGAGGAACUGCACGGGAAACUGCCUGGCUUGAGUUCGGGAGAGGGAAGCGGAAUUCCGGGUGUAGCGGUGAAAUGCGUAGAUAUCCGGAGGAACACCGAUGGCGAAGGCAGGUCUCUGGGCCACUACUGACGCUGAGAAGCGAAAGCAUGGGGAGCGAACAGG